ACUUCAGGAUUUCUUACAUUUUAGUGGCAACAGAUUAGAAAUAGGCUUUUUACUUUUCUACUCUGAACUGAUAGGGAAAAUCACCUCGUUACUGUGUCUUUCAGAAGUGGACUGACUUUCUUGAAGCUGAAUGUGGUUUGGACAGUUACAUUCUUUCCAUGAUGGCAUGGAGUCAGCUUCUUUGAUGAGGAUUAGCAUAUAAAGCCAGGUUUUCCAUGAAAAUGCUACUAGAAUCUUCACAUUUCAAGGAAUUCUGAUCUUUAUUAAAAUUAUUAUAGGCAGCACUCUCAAAGAUUUUUUUUCACUUAUUCCUUUCCAGAGAAACAUUUUACUUCCUGAAAAGCCUGGAAAUUCAGCUUUAAAUUGUUUUGUUUGUUUCUGUUUACCAAUGGUAUUCUCCUUCUAAAAGAGAAGCCCACAUCUCCCCAAAAUGAAAUCACUGCUGUGUCAAGUGAGCUAAAAUGAGAACCACAUGAAGAUAAGAUAGAUUUUUAUCAUGCUGCUACACUUUUUCAGAUUUUAUGCCUUCCCUGAUGCUGGAAUCAGAAAUUUACAACUAAUCAGCUUUAUUCCACGACUGAGGGAUAAAGUGGACUAAGUUCUGAAACCUCGACAAGCUGUAAAUCACAAUGACCUUCCCUCCUUAUAAUUGAUUCAUGUCUUUAUAAGAAGAGUCACCAGAAUGGAUGUUCACAAAGAAAAUACUACAUGAGGACACAACAAGAAAAUAAUUAUUUGCAAGUCAAGCAAAGAGGACUGAGGAGAAACAAAACUUGGUGCUCCUCAACUUUUACUAUCAGCCAU
Molecule: non-coding RNA, 804 nt
Organism: Heterocephalus glaber (naked mole-rat)
Lineage: Eukaryota; Metazoa; Chordata; Mammalia; Rodentia; Bathyergidae
Source: RefSeq, a predicted model, not a curated record